UACGUAGGGGGCAAGCGUUGUCCGGAGUUACUGGGCGUAAAGCGCACGCAGGCGGUCUUUUAAGUUUGGAGUGACAGUUGGUGGCUUAACUGCCAAAGUGCUUCGAAAAACUGAGAGACUUGAGGGCUUCAGAGGGACACGGAAUUCCGGGUGGAGUGGUGAAAUGCGUAGAGAUCCGGAGGAACACCAAAGGCGAAGGCAGUGUCCUGGGGAGUACCUGACGCUCAGGUGCGAAAGCCAGGGGAGCGAACGGG
This 254-nucleotide ribosomal RNA is filed under the name uncultured bacterium. RNAcentral's name for it is "partial 16S ribosomal RNA". It matches the Rfam family "Bacterial small subunit ribosomal RNA", at positions 524 to 776 of the family's 1533-position model. The record is from RNAcentral.